Molecule: non-coding RNA, 133 nt
Organism: Paramuricea clavata
Lineage: Eukaryota; Metazoa; Cnidaria; Anthozoa; Malacalcyonacea; Plexauridae
Source: the annotation of a GenBank genome assembly
AUAAACAUUUUAAUCGUUCUAGCUUUCGACUAAGAUUCAGUCAUAUCAUCAGGAAUGAUGCUAGGAAUGAUGCUAGCAUCAUUCCUGAUGAUGACUGGAUCUUAGUCGAAAGCUAGAACGAUUAAAAUGUUUA